UCCUCCGGUAUCGAACCGCCGACCAACCACCCAGUCGCGCACCACUGCACGGCUGCACUUCCUCUUGUUCUUCUCCUUGCGUCACUUCACGUUGAAAUAAUCAGGAACCAAAUUCCAAUUUGGUUGGAACUUUGGUUUCCUAAUUCAAAGCAGCCCAUUCUAUUUAUUUGAUGGCCCACUAGCCCACUACCUAUUUUAGAAAUCGAACUUCGGAGCUCAGGAAGAACGGUCCAUCGAACAGGAAGUAUAAACUACGGUUGAGGUACGAAGAAGAUCAGGGGAUGCCUUAGAGUGAGGAUGCAACCAUCAAAUUCACGAUCGAUGCUUAAUAAAGAUAAUCAUGUAUCACUAGUAAUAAUGGAUGAACAAAUUAAACUCUAAGUCAAAUUUCAAUUAUUGAGUUGGAUUUUAAUAUUUAUGUUUAAUCAAUGUUAUGAAUAUUUAUUAAAUUUCAUUUAGAUUUCGAUGUAAAUAUUAAAGAAUUAAUCGAAGUGAAGUAUAAUUACUGUUACUCAUCAGUAGUCAGUAAAUGUAAAAAGGUUAUGUCGCCUUGUAUUUCCCACGAGGGAAAUACGGCAUGUGACGCUCCGACUAAAUUAGGGUUUCCGCUGCUAAUUAAAGAUAAUUAACCUAAUUAAUGGUGUUUAGAA
Molecule: long non-coding RNA, 650 nt
Organism: Spinacia oleracea (spinach)
Lineage: Eukaryota; Viridiplantae; Streptophyta; Magnoliopsida; Caryophyllales; Amaranthaceae
Exons: 3
Source: RefSeq, a predicted model, not a curated record